RNAcentral lists this unclassified non-coding RNA (253 nucleotides) under uncultured Pseudobdellovibrionaceae bacterium. RNAcentral describes it as "uncultured Bdellovibrionaceae bacterium contains 16S-23S intergenic spacer region". It matches the Rfam family "Bacterial small subunit ribosomal RNA", at positions 524 to 776 of the family's 1533-position model. Lineage: Bacteria; Pseudomonadati; Bdellovibrionota; Bdellovibrionia; Bdellovibrionales; Pseudobdellovibrionaceae. The record is from RNAcentral.
UACGGAGGGUGCAAGCGUUGCUCGGAAUCACUGGGCGUAAAGCGUACGCAGGCGGCGCAGUAGGUCGGGUGUGAAAGCCCGGGGCUCAACCCCGGAACUGCAUUCGAAACCCCUGCGCUUGAAUACUGGAGAGGGAAGCGGAAUUCCUGGUGUAGAGGUGAAAUUCGUAGAUAUCAGGAGGAACACCAGCGGCGAAAGCGGCUUCCUGGCCAGAUAUUGACGCUCAUGUACGAAAGCGUGGGGAGCAAACAGG